Vicia villosa (hairy vetch) is the source of this 1560-nucleotide long non-coding RNA. RefSeq lists it as uncharacterized. Lineage: Eukaryota; Viridiplantae; Streptophyta; Magnoliopsida; Fabales; Fabaceae. The record is from RefSeq and is a predicted model, not a curated record. The transcript is spliced from 3 exons.
AAGAUUCAUUCAUCUCUCUCUUCUCUAUUUCUCCGCCUCUGUACCAAGUUCCGCCACCCCCGUUGCAAAGUCCCACCGGUUUUGUAGAGCACGUGAAGAGAUUCUCCACCGAUGUCACAUAGUGCCAACAAGAUUCCAAAUAGACUCAUAAUAGAUGACUCAUAACGGUGAGUCCAUUCCAUCUCUUCCGUCGCUGUGGGUCUACACCACCAGCUUUGAAGCUCUGAAUCCAUAACCCAUGGCUAAUCGAGAAAGGUGAAGGAUGGGACACAAACCCUAACGCAAAAACACGAAACCGCACUGAUCCCAUCACCAACUUCGAAAGCGCAGCCGUUGCAAACCACCUCUGAAUCUGCUCCCGUGAGACUUCCCUUCGCCCAUCGGAUGUCAUCACCGAAAUCUUCUGCACUCAUUUCCAUUACAGCCACCACCAUAAUCAUUUUCGGUCACUUAUCUGAUUUUCAUUUUAUUUUUAGAAAAUUUUGAAAUCGAUUUGUUUGCUUGUUAUGUAUUUGAAGAAGCAACUGGCUUUGAAAUCGAUUGUUUCGGGCAAGGUAUAAUUGUUUGACAUCUGAUUGUAGUUAGUUGUUGAUAUUUUGUUUGGACUUUUGGUUGUUUGUGAUAACAUGUUGUGGUGCUUUAACGUGUGUGUGUUUGGAAUAUCAUAAUAGAGUGGAGGGAAAAAGACCGAAGCUUGCUGGUAUUACUAACCAGCUCUGGAAAUCGGCGAAGGAAAAAAGACAUGUUCUUGAUGGUAUCACUAGCAAUAAGAGAUUGAUAUGCAUGUUCUAUUCAUUUUGGUGGACCUCUUGGCUUAUACUUUGUGACGGUGUUUGCAGCUUUCAACUGAUAUUCUAUGCAUGUUCUAUUCUUGAUGGUAUCACUAGCAACUGGUUUUCUUUUUUUUUUUGGUUCAUGUUGAGUUUGGUUUUUGAUAUGAGCAUCAUUGUUUUGAGUUGUAUGGCUUUCUGUUUUGUAGUUUUGAAGAUGGUUUGCAGAGUUGGAAGGUAGAGUUGACUGUUGUGAUUUAGUUUAUUUGUAUUGAUUAAAAUUUUGGUGAGUGAAAAUAUGGAAAGUGGUUGCAGGAACCCUCUGUAUUAUGCUUAUCUCCUCUUUACUGCAGAGCUAAUAGUGAACUGAUGGGGUUGUGAUAUUUGAAUGAAAAUGUAUAUGGUUUGGGUAGUACUUGAAUGGAUAUUGAUGUGAUUAAGCAGAGUCUGCUUGUGUAUGAAAGUGGGUUGAAUUUGGAUGAUUGUGGCAGGUUGAGUCAUUAUUUGCAGAGGCUUUAUAGAUUAAACAUGGCAAGACAUGGUUGUAAGAGUAUUCAAGAAGAAGAAGUGAAAAUGGCUUGAAAAAUGAAGAAAUGAAGAGAAAUGGUUUGAAGAUGGAACGAGAAUGGGACCAAGAUUUGGCUGUAAAAAUGUUUAGAAUAAUUUUUGUAUUUAAAUGGUGUAAUUGUCUUUGAAUUUUGUAAUUGAUUUUUGUAAUAAAUUGUAUGGACAUGCAUUGUAAUGGAUUUGGAUGAACACUUGAAUGAAGUCUCUUUUUUUUUUUUUGUAA